Pantherophis guttatus is the source of this 335-nucleotide long non-coding RNA. RefSeq lists it as uncharacterized. The record is from RefSeq and is a predicted model, not a curated record. Lineage: Eukaryota; Metazoa; Chordata; Lepidosauria; Squamata; Colubridae.
GGACAUCACUAUAUCCAAACGUUUUUUGCAUCUUUUCUAGCUAUCAGCUGUGAGUUCUUGGAGAACUGCUCAGUCAUGGGUUCUCUUCCAGCUGUUUUGCUUCAGAAAAUUUAUUUGCUUCAGAAAUUUAUUUCAAAGGACGAGAGAAUUGCUGAGAAAUACUCCUGGGUGGAGCAUGUUGUUUCUAUACUUAGUAGCAAAAUGACUAAUUGGUCUAUGGGAUCACGAAGUGUGGGACACGACUUAGAGACUGAACAAUAACAACAACAAGAAGAUGACUAAAGUGUCUGUGUGAAUUUCCUACCUUUCUUUGUAAAUAAACUCUCAAGUGCAUA